RNAcentral lists this transfer RNA (70 nucleotides) under Plagiorchis maculosus. RNAcentral describes it as "tRNA-Asp". Lineage: Eukaryota; Metazoa; Platyhelminthes; Trematoda; Plagiorchiida; Plagiorchiidae. The record is from RNAcentral.
ACAUUCUUAGUUUAUUUUAGAAUAGCAGUUUGUCGUACUGCAGGGGAAAUCUUUGUUAUUUCAGAGUGGG